CACGACCAACACCUUCAAGGCAUGUUGCAGCAAAUCCGAUUCUGUCAGAUCAGACAACAACACAACAGGUUCCAUCAGUCGGGGCCGCAUCACAACCACCACUAUCUAGAAAGUGUAGUGGACGUGUGUCUACGCAACAUUGGAUUGUAGAUGGAAUAGGUAUGUUAUUGCCAUUCAUUUAUACAUUCUGUCUAUUUUACGCCGCAACUAACAAUAUGUUACCUCAAAGAAUACAUAACCUAUGCUUAAUGCUUCUCAUCACUUUACAUUCGUUAUCAAACCUCUUGGAUCCAUCCUCAUUUUACCAAUUUAGAAGAUAUUUUUCCUUCUAAAUUGUAGGAGAGAUUAAUUCUUUUAAGGUACUGAAGCUUGCCUGAUAACUCAUUUGAUUGUUACUUGAUGGUUUGACAUUCUGCCUAAGAACCCACCUAAUAAUCUGUUGCCUCAAAGAAUAGAGAACCACAUUGAUUUUUGUUUUUAUCUUUUAAGAUUCACAAGGAGCUAGCAAGAUACUUAAAGUAAAGAAAAGGGACGUGUUAAAUUUAUCUAAUGGAGAGCGUAUUGUGGUUGAUUUUGACGACACGGAUUCUCCCAUUGGUGAAGGACAAGGCGUUCUUGCAGGCUUUUGUGGAAUUUUAGAAACUGACUGCUCCAUUUUUUCAAUUCACUUUGAGAAAUGGUCGGAUUUACCUGUG
This 695-nucleotide long non-coding RNA is filed under the name Nicotiana tabacum (common tobacco). Its description in RNAcentral is "long non-coding RNA (NTAB_LNC010080)". The record is from RNAcentral. Lineage: Eukaryota; Viridiplantae; Streptophyta; Magnoliopsida; Solanales; Solanaceae.